Molecule: ribosomal RNA, 238 nt
Filed under: uncultured bacterium
Lineage: Bacteria
Description: partial 16S ribosomal RNA
Rfam family: Bacterial small subunit ribosomal RNA
Source: RNAcentral
UGGCGGACGGGUGAGUAAUGUCUGGGGAAACUGCCUGAUGGAGGGGGGUAACUACUGGAAACGGUAGCUAAUACCGCAUAACGUCGCAAGACCAAAGAAGGGGGACCUUCCGGGCCUCUUGCCAUCGGAUGUGCCCAGAUGGGAUUAGCUAGUAGGUGGGGUAACGGCUCACCUAGGCGACGAUCCCUAGCUGGUCUGAGAGGAUGACCAGCCACACUGGAACUGAGACACGGUCCAG